UUCUGAUCCAAAUCCUCUGAAAUGGAUGGGGAUGCCUACCAUUCUCUUAUGAAAUGAGAGAAUGUAGGUCUUUGGACUUGAGAAUGUCCCAGAAACACAGGAAUGUGUGAGAGGUGAACUUCUGUGAUCAGUCUAAUGGGAAAUGAGAUAACAUCUCAACAAAUGUUGCAGGCUUAGUGAGGAAACAUAAGAAACAGCAAAGGAACAGAAAUGUGGGAGAAGUGUUGCCGAAGUACAUGAAGCCAAGGAAGUGCUAGGAGGAAAGCAAAACUGGGAAGAAAAUUUUCUUUCUGAAGUGUGAUCAAGUCUCUCCUGAAUUGAAACUUUGGUCAUCACUGUGGAAUUCCUGGUAUGAGAAUGCAGAGCGUCAGAGUAGAGAGUGGAUCCUUGCUGAACAACUGUAAUCAUGAAGGCAGUUCUUAUAAUUGUCCUAAUCAUCUUCACUUCGCUGUCUUC
RNAcentral lists this long non-coding RNA (456 nucleotides) under Gallus gallus (chicken). RNAcentral describes it as "long non-coding RNA NONGGAT002897". The record is from RNAcentral. Lineage: Eukaryota; Metazoa; Chordata; Aves; Galliformes; Phasianidae.